UUCUAGUCUUCAUCCAAGUAAUAAUGGCGAUGCCAGAUGUCACUUCCCAAAACCAACUGAGAGAAGUUGCUGCGGCAACUAAUCAUUUCGCACUUGAUUUGCACAAGGUUUUGUCCAAGGAAAAUGCGGGAAAUAUGUUUUUUUCGCCGCUCAGCCUGCAAGUGGCACUUGCGAUGGCUGCGGUUGGCGCCGCUGACCAUUCCAAGACCUUCAAUGAGAUGAAAGCAUUGCUGAGAUUUCCCGAUGACAAGUCCAAAAUGCUUUCCAGCUACAGUUUGCUGUCUGAUGCUCUUACCAAUUCAGAUGUGAUGAAAAUGGCAAACAGAAUAUACAUCGACAAGAAGUUCAAAGUGAAGCCAGAAUAUUUGGAAACGACACAGAAGUAUUUCAAAUCUGAUGCCAAGGAAGUUGACUUUGAGAAGAACGCUGAUAACGCAGGACAAGAGAUCAAUGGCUGGGUAGAACAGCAGACUAACAACAAAAUCAAGGGAUUGAUUCCCGAAGGAGCUCUAAAACCGGGUACUGUGAUGGUACUUAUCAAUGCCAUCCAUUUCAAAGCCGACUGGAAGUAUGCAUUUGAAGCGAGAUUAACUAAGAAGGAGAAAUUCUAUCUUGAUGAGACCAGAACUGUUGAUGUGGACAUGAUGAACAUUAAGAAAGAGUACAAUUUCUUCCACGAUACACAGCUGAAAGCUAAAUUUUUGGAGAUGCCUUACAAGGGAGAUGAGUUCAGUAUGAUUCUCGUGCUCCCCGACUCGAAAACCGGUCUCCCUGACUUGGAAAAGGCAAUCACCAACCAGAACUUUGAUCUGACCAAGAAGAUCGAAAAUAUCCAGAACUCUAGCCCCGUCAGCGUCAUGGUUUCCAUUCCGAAAUUUGAAAUGGAAUCAACUCAUAACCUGGAAGAAACUUUAAAAGAGCUUGGUGUCGAAGAGAUGUUCAGCGAUAAAGCGAAUUUCUCGAACAUCAACUCGGAAAAUAACAUUAAAGUUUCGAAAGUGAUCCAGAAGGCCUUUGUGUCUGUCGAUGAGAAGGGAACCGAGGCUGCCGCGGCUACUGCUAUUGGCUUUGCUCAGCGUAGCUUGUUCAUUCCGCGACAUGAGGAAUUUACAGCUGAUCAUCCUUUCAUGUUUCUCAUUACAAAACGGCUUCAAACGUGUGAUGGGUGCAUAGCCUUAUUCUCAGGCAUUUUCAGAGGCUAACUCAUUCAUUGAGUUGCUGAUAAAGUAUCCAGAUAUUUAUGUCUUAUUUCUAAAUGUAUCGCUAUAGCCGUUUUUGCAGCCCCUCGUCCACCUCCUCUGUCCUUCGAAUUCUAUGCUGACCAUCCUUUUCUAUGUCUGAUAACGAAGAAAAUGACCGCCACUAACAUGAUCCUAUUCAGUGGAAAAUAUACUGGAAAUUGAACUGGAAUCAACCUUGCGUAACCUGUUAUAAUCGGCUUUAUGUGUGUAUCUAUCAAUUCUAUCAUUUCUUGUAGCUGCAAUAUAUCUGUUUAUUCCUUUUCUA
RNAcentral lists this unclassified non-coding RNA (1506 nucleotides) under Nilaparvata lugens (brown planthopper). RNAcentral describes it as "leukocyte elastase inhibitor, transcript variant X4". Lineage: Eukaryota; Metazoa; Arthropoda; Insecta; Hemiptera; Delphacidae. The record is from RNAcentral.